UAGCAAUACGUGGCAUACGGCUCAGUAACACGUAGUCAACAUGCCCAGGGGACGUGGAUAACCUCGGGAAACUGAGGAUAAACCACGAUAGGUCAUAAUAUCUGGAAUGAUAUAUGGCUAAAAUCUACAUGGCCCCUGGAUUGGACUGCGGCCGAUCAGGCUGUUGGUGAGGUAAUGGCCCACCAAACCUAAAACCGGUACGGGCUCUGAGAGGAGAAGCCCGGAGAUGGGCACUGAGACAAGGGCCCAGGCCCUAUGGGGCGCAGCAGGCGCGAAAACUCUGCAAUAAGCGAAAGCUUGACAGGGUUAUUCUGAGUGAUUUCCGCUAAGGAAAUCUUUUGGCACCUCUAAAAAUGGUGCAGAAUAAGGGGUGGGCAAGCCUGGUGUCAGCCGCCGCGGUAAUACCAGCACCCCGAGUGGUCGGGACGAUUAUUGGGCCUAAAGCAUCCGUAGCCGGUUCUACAAGUCUUCCGUUAAAUCCAUCUGCUUAACAGAUGGGCUGCGGAGGAUACUAUGGAGCUAGGAGGCGGGAGAGGCAAGCGGUACUUAGUGGGUAGGGGUAAAAUCCGUUGAUCCACUGAAGACCACCAGUGGCGAAGGCGGCUUGCCAGAACGCGCUCGACGGUGAGGGAUGAAAGCUGGGGGAGCAAACCGGAUUAGAUACCCGGGUAGUCCCAGCUGUAAACGA
Molecule: ribosomal RNA, 688 nt
Filed under: uncultured Nitrososphaerota archaeon
Lineage: Archaea; Thermoproteati; Nitrososphaerota
Description: bacterial SSU rRNA
Rfam family: Archaeal small subunit ribosomal RNA
Source: RNAcentral